RNAcentral lists this unclassified non-coding RNA (400 nucleotides) under soil metagenome. RNAcentral's name for it is "partial contains 5.8S ribosomal RNA, internal transcribed spacer 2, and large subunit ribosomal RNA". The stretch from base 1 to 122 matches the Rfam family "5.8S ribosomal RNA", at positions 35 to 154 of the family's 154-position model. The record is from RNAcentral.
GAUGAAGAACGUAGCGAAAUGCGAUACUUGGUGUGAAUUGCGGAAUCCCGUGAACCAUCGAGUCUUUGAACGCAAGUUGCGCCUCAAGCCAUUAGGUUGAGGGCACGUCUGCCUGGGCGUCACAUAUCGUUGCCUGAUGCCAGUUUCCUCGUGAUGGGUGACUGUGCAGGGCGAAUGAUGGCUUCCCGUGAGCAUUGUUGCCUCAUGGUUGGUUGAAAAUUGAGUCCUUGGUAGGGAGCGCCGUGAUAGAUGGUGGUUGAGUGACGAACGAGACCCAAUCAUGUGAGACCCCUACCGAAUUUGGCCUUCAUGACCCACAUGCGUCUUUGGAACGCUCAUGACGAGACCUCAGGUCAGGCAGGGCUACCCGCUGAGUUUAAGCAUAUCAAUAAGCGGAGGA